GCUGGGUGUGGUGGCGUGCACCUGUAAUCCCAGCUACUCGGGAGGCUGAGGCAGGAGAAUUGCUUGAACUCAGGAGGCUGAGGCUGCAGUGAGCUGAGAUUGUGCCACUGCACUCCAGCCUGGGCGACAGAGUAAGACUCAGUCUCAA
This 148-nucleotide signal recognition particle RNA is filed under the name Chlorocebus sabaeus (green monkey). RNAcentral's name for it is "Metazoan signal recognition particle RNA". It matches the Rfam family "Metazoan signal recognition particle RNA". From Rfam's summary of the family: The signal recognition particle (SRP) is a universally conserved ribonucleoprotein. The record is from Rfam by way of RNAcentral. Lineage: Eukaryota; Metazoa; Chordata; Mammalia; Primates; Cercopithecidae.